UCGGGAAUUUUGGGCAAUGGGCGAAAGCCUGACACAGCAACGCCGCGUGAAGGAUGAAGUCCCUCGGGAUGUAAACUUCGUAAGAAUAGGAAGAAUAAAUGACGGUACUAUUUGUAAGGUCCGGCUAACUACGUGCCAGCAGCCGCGGUAAUACGUAGGGACCAAGCGUUGUUCGGAUUUACUGGGCGUAAAGGGUGCGUAGGCGGCAUAUCAAGUCACUUGUGAAAUCUCCGGGCUUAACUCGGAACUGCCAAGUGAUACUGAUGUGCUAGAGUGCAGAAAGGGCAACCGGAAUUCUUGGUGUAGCGGUGAAAUGCGUAGAUAUCAAGAGGAACACCUGAGGCGAAGGCGGGUUGCUGGGCUGAUACUGACGCUGAGGCGCGAAAGCUAGGGUAGCAAACGGGAUUAGAUACCCGAGUAGUCCCUGAGCGGGCUGGCAAGGCGCAU
RNAcentral lists this ribosomal RNA (447 nucleotides) under uncultured bacterium. RNAcentral's name for it is "bacterial SSU rRNA". It matches the Rfam family "Bacterial small subunit ribosomal RNA", at positions 355 to 825 of the family's 1533-position model. The record is from RNAcentral.